This 731-nucleotide long non-coding RNA is filed under the name Rattus norvegicus (Norway rat). RNAcentral's name for it is "long non-coding RNA NONRATT008274". Lineage: Eukaryota; Metazoa; Chordata; Mammalia; Rodentia; Muridae. The record is from RNAcentral.
AAACGUUGUAGAUUUGUAGGAAAAUGCAAAGAUGGUACUGAGUUCCCAUAGCCAUGGAUCCUGUGUCUGCUGUUGCUAGCAUCCUGUGUAGUAUGCUGCCAUUGCCGUAUUGUUGACUCGCUGCACGGCAUGGCAUUCAGAGCUCUGGCUGUUCCCUGGUGUCCCAUUCUGUCUCCCCCUCAGAGUUCUCAAGUACCUCUGCGAUCACGUCUGCUGAGGUGUCUCCUCACCCUGGCACUUCACUUUCUUAGUUUUGAUGGCCUUGAAGUUUUUAGGAAUAUUGAUCAGAUGUCCAGCUCCUGUAAAGUAUGUAGUAUGUUUCUCAGUAUUGCAUGAGCUCAUAGGCUUGAGGGAGAAGAUUACAGAAGAGAAGUACCAUUUUCACAGCGUCUGAAGGGGUGUGCCAUGCUGUGCUGACUUGGAACGCCUGUGGGGUUCUCCACUAGGAAUGUGUCCCUCACCUGUUCUGUGGCAGUAGAGCAGGAGAGAGAGAAGAAAGGAAGAGCAGGCACAGAGAAUUAUUUAGGGCAGACAAGUAUCAGAAUACAGCCCUUGUAGUUCUUUAUGGUACCUGCCUCCCUCACAGUUUACCUUUGGAGCACAUCUGAAGCACAUGCAGGUCCCUCAUGCUAGAUGUGCAGUUGGUUUAUUUGAACCUGCCAUGUUUCUGUUCUAUACAUCCUCAAACGUGAUGAUUGAUUUUCAGAAAUCUUUUAGUAAAAAAAAAAAAA